This 2039-nucleotide long non-coding RNA is filed under the name Rattus norvegicus (Norway rat). RNAcentral describes it as "long non-coding RNA NONRATT025119". Lineage: Eukaryota; Metazoa; Chordata; Mammalia; Rodentia; Muridae. The record is from RNAcentral.
UGUACCCACAUGGGUGCACACGCAUGCACAUACAUACUCCUCACAUACAAAACUAACGAGUGGAACUCUAUUGCUAGGGAGCUUCAAAAAUAUUGGUUCACCUGGUGCCCGUUAUUAAAGUUCUUUAGCACUGAGACUUCACCUGAUUCCUGUUAUUCAUAAAGUUAUUUUUAUACUGAGAACUAAAAAGACAGAAUGCUGGGUCUUGCCUGUCUAAUCCCAGCUGUCAGUAGACCAAGGCAGGCUUGUAAAUUCAGGACUAACCUGGAGCUAGAUGGCAAGACCGGUCUCAAGAGAAACAGCAACAAACAAGCAAACAAAAAAACAAAAUUUUCUCAGUCUUCAAUAAUGUUUUGUUUUAGGAAGUAGAGAUGUGUGUUUCAUUUAAUAGAAAAAGUUCCCUAAAGCUAAUUUCUACUGAGGCAUGUAGGAAGUGGUGUGGGACUGCUGUUGCUUUGUUUUGAUUUUUAAGAAAGAUAUAUUUACCUUUAUGGUAUGUGUUAGGGUGUUCUGCCUCCAUGCGUUUCUGUGCACAGCAUGUACACCGUAAUUGUGGAGGCCAGAAAGGGCAUCAGAAUCUUUAGAAUUCAUGUGGGUGCUGGAACUGAACCAGGUUCUCUGCAAGAGCAGCAAGUACCCCAAAUCACCAGUCCUCUCUCCAGCUCAUUUGGGUUUCUUUGAGAUUGGGUCUUACUGUAUGGCCCACGCCAGCCUGAGACUUGAAACAAUCCUGUAUCCACCUCCUAAGUGCCUAGGGUAACAGGCAUACACUAUAACACUUACAGCCUGGGCAGUUUUGGUUUUGGUUUUAAGACAUGAUUCUUCAUUGUGGGGGGGAAAGUAUUCAUAUUUUAAAAGGUUUUCCAGGAACAACCUUUACUUUCUGUCACAUCUGCAAAAUGGAGCUCCCCUCCCCCACUCUCUAGCUGUGUUUUGUGAAAUGGUUGCCGAGUUGAACCAGGAGUUGCCAUAUGUACUUUGUUGCCAGAUGUCGCCCUCUUGUGUUGAGGUGUAGCCUGCUGGGUACCGUUUUAAAGGCCUGGUAAAACAAGCUCAAUUCCCGUCACUCGUCUGUGUACUAGGCAGAUACUAGAUAGGUCUUUUCUGCUUGGGCCAGCUUUAACUCUUCCCUUGCUUUUAGAUCCUACGUGUAGAUGUUUUCUGGAGAAAAGCAGAGGCCGUUUCCACAUUUGUUCUUGGUAGGAGCACUCAGUGAGUGCCGUCUGCCUUUUUUUACUAUAUAGAGUGGUUACUCAUUCCUUCCGGGUAAGGUGGGUGUCAACAGCGCCUACCUCACAGGGGUGUUGUGGGGCUUUGUUCUAAAAUGGUUAGUGUGCUGAAGAAAAACCAACACGAGGAAGCAGUGCCACGGCUGGCCCUAUUCAGUAUUCCAUCCAGUAGAUUCUAGAACAUGCUUGCAGCACCCGUGCACUACUUAAUAAACAGUUCAUCGAGAAGACUAGUUUUUCCCAAAAUGCGCCAGAAAUAGGAGUGCUGCUUGAGUUCUACUCUUCUGUAGUAUUUCUCACUACUGUUCAGCAAGGUAGAUAGGAUUUAGCAUUGUUGGAAAUAAAAUAUGCUAAUUCUAGCUAAUGACAUUUACUCCAAAUACAUUAUUUUCAUAAAAGGAAGAAAGAAAAUAAAAAUCCCAUCGUUUCUUGGAUGAAGACGGUCUAAGUAGUAAAGAGGGAUGGGACUGGAAUGAUUAUCCGUAGGAACUCACUAAUGUUCUCUUGAAGUAAAGCUGGACCACUUUCUCUGAACACUGAAGGAAAUGCCUGCUAGUCACGAAGGGAGAGCAAGCUGGAAAGCGGACAGACAGUUCCUGAGCCUGUUUGCACAGACCGAGUCUUGAUACUGAAACUAGGAUUCCUGAAGAAUACUUGAUAGGUAUUUUUGUGGUAACUGUGCUAAAAAUAGUUGAUGUGGAAAAUUUUUACAGUGUAACUUGUGUCUUUUAGUAUACUUAAACUAAAUAUGUCUGUGGUGUUUCAUUAAUAAAUUGUUAAGUUCCUAGGAGUGAACUCUGUAAACACUAA